Molecule: long non-coding RNA, 724 nt
Organism: Cynoglossus semilaevis (tongue sole)
Lineage: Eukaryota; Metazoa; Chordata; Actinopteri; Pleuronectiformes; Cynoglossidae
Exons: 2
Source: RefSeq, a predicted model, not a curated record
UAAAUGGAGACAUGGACAUCAGUGGUUACUGUACCUGCUCAAAUCAAAUGAUGUUAUUGUUAACAUACAGCAGGCUAGAAUUUCUGAUUGUUCGGUCUUCUAGGAAGAAAACAGAAAAAUAUGCACUGUCUAACUGUCCGGCUGACUUGCACAUCUUUAAAGAACUCUGUUCCGUAGCACAACUCUUCACUAGAGUCAGGGUUAAAAGGAGUGGCACACGCUCAGAGACUACUGGACAUGGAAAACAUAUUGUUCUCACCUGAGCAACAGUGCAGUACAAAGAGCUGUACAGAUAAAAGGGGAAAAGACCCAACGAGGCUGGGCACUGAGGAACCACGUGAGGAAAGCUUUAUCAGGGAUCCACCCACGCCAGGAUGUCCCGCCGACAGCAUCCACAGGGGACGCCGUCGCAAGGACUAACCCGACCAGGACAGAAGCGAGAAGUCGACACGGUGGCCAACGUGCCACCAUGCGGACCACCAGCCACACCAGCACUGAACUGACCAGCUGAUUCACAGCGUUCACAGACAUUUUCAACACCUUACUGGAGCUCCAGCUUCAACUCCUCCACCAUCAUCCCUGUCCCCCAAAAACCAAAGCCCUCCACACUAAACUGUUGUUGUCUGGGAACGUGCUCAGUAACACCAUAUAAGUACUAGCUCAAGAAAACAUGAGUGUUGUCUUCAAUCUGUGUUUUCUGCAAUAAAAAUAUUCCUUCUCAGUU